GAAUGAUUUAUUCUGUUUGAGACUUGGGGCACCCUAGCUGCUUCCCCUCUGCAGGAGAGGCUGUAUAGUUCUUCCUGCCCUGCAGUUGUGAACACAAUGUGAAUGCAUUGUCUCCCCUACAACAAAACCAGUCUGCCCCAGCUCGGGUGUCACACCCAUUUGGUGCAUGAAUGGGGAGAGGUCUUUUGGAGCUGGAAGAAGAAUUUGAAGUUCUCAGACUGACAAAAUGCAGCAGGACCCUUUUCCUCAUCAUGGACCGCAACCACAUGGAAACGGUGUGAAUUCAAGCCUUGAGAAGGAUAAUGGCCCAGAGAGCUGAAUUCGGUGCCUGUGGCCACAUUUCAAGACAGCUUUUAAUUAUUAAGGAGCCUAAAAAGAAGACCCGGAGUCCCAGGAUCACACCACUUACAGUUGGACUCAGCACAACGUCUCAAUCCUUUGGAGUUCGGCCAGGCAUGGCUGCCCUUCUGUUCUGUUUCCUGCUGAUCUUCAUGCAACAGCUGCUUUACUCUCAGCCGUCUUCAAAAACCCCAGCCCCGCCAAGUUCUUCCAGAUGAUUCUGUUGCCUGGAUUAAUUUAAGCAUCAUUUCCUCCUGAUGACGCAGCAAAAUGGAGAGCCUCGUGCUCCAGAGCACAAAGUCUGCAGAAAAUGUUGGAGUGUAUUAACAUCAACCUCAGUAUUUGCUUUUUCGUGAUACUUCAUCACCUUCUCUUACCCCUUUUAAUAUGGUCACAUCAUUCACGUGGGUUUAAGGCCCAGUUUCUGGGCAGGACAGCCACGAGGCCUCACCCUGUCAUCACAGAGUUCGUGAAGUCAUCUGGUUGUGGCUGGGACGCAGCCUCCAGCGGUCCCUAAGCAAAGAAUAAACAUAUGCUUUUAUUUUCUUAA
RNAcentral lists this long non-coding RNA (889 nucleotides) under Sus scrofa (pig). RNAcentral's name for it is "lncRNA (ENSSSCG00040018402.1)". Lineage: Eukaryota; Metazoa; Chordata; Mammalia; Artiodactyla; Suidae. The record is from RNAcentral.